This 409-nucleotide ribosomal RNA is filed under the name uncultured Nitrososphaerota archaeon. RNAcentral's name for it is "bacterial SSU rRNA". It matches the Rfam family "Archaeal small subunit ribosomal RNA", at positions 452 to 861 of the family's 1478-position model. The record is from RNAcentral. Lineage: Archaea; Thermoproteati; Nitrososphaerota.
CUGGUGUCAGCCGCCGCGGUAAUACCAGCACCCCGAGUGGUCGGGACGAUUAUUGGGCCUAAAGCAUCCGUAGCCGGUUCUACAAGUCUUCCGUUAAAUCCACCUGCUUAACAGAUGGGCUGCGGAGGAUACUAUAGAGCUAGGAGGCGGGAGAGGCAAGCGGUACUUAGUGGGUAGGGGUAAAAUCCGUUGAUCCAUUGAAGACCACCAGUGGCGAAGGCGGCUUGCCAGAACGCACUCGACGGUGAGGGAUGAAAGCUGGGGGAGCAAACCGGAUUAGAUACCCGGGUAGUCCCUGCUGUAAACGAUGCAGACUCGGUGAUGAAUAGGCUUCGUGCCUAUUCAGUGCCGCAGGGAAGCCGUUAAGUCUGCCGCCUGGGGAGUACGGUCGCAAGACUGAAACUUAAAG